CACCACCCCCCCAUAAGAGGUCCAGCCUGCCCAGUGACUUUGUUCAACGGCCGCGGUAUUCUAACCGUGCAAAGGUAGCGUAAUCACUUGUUUUCUAAAUAGAGACCUGUAUGAAAGGCACCACGAGAGCUAAACUGUCUCCUUUUUCCAAUCAGUGAACCUAAUACCCCUGUGAAAAAGCAGGAAUUAAAAUAUAAGACGAGAAGACCCUGUGGAGCUUAAAACAUUCUUCACUUGCCAUUUCACCACUUCACCCCGGUUCAUCACUAAACGACAACUCUGACCCAAUGUUUUUGGUUGGGGCGACCACGGAGAAAAACUUAUCCUCCAUAAUGAAAGGAUUUCCUAAGCUAUAAAAUACAACUUUAAGCAUCAAAAAAUUGACAUCCAUUGACCCAAUAAAUUGAUCAAUGAAC
RNAcentral lists this ribosomal RNA (416 nucleotides) under Pristimantis cf. ockendeni ABGD cluster 271. RNAcentral describes it as "partial large subunit ribosomal RNA". It matches the Rfam family "Bacterial large subunit ribosomal RNA", at positions 1833 to 2457 of the family's 2925-position model. The record is from RNAcentral. Lineage: Eukaryota; Metazoa; Chordata; Amphibia; Anura; Strabomantidae.